This 433-nucleotide ribosomal RNA is filed under the name uncultured Anaerolineae bacterium. RNAcentral's name for it is "partial 16S ribosomal RNA". It matches the Rfam family "Bacterial small subunit ribosomal RNA", at positions 338 to 787 of the family's 1533-position model. Lineage: Bacteria; Bacillati; Chloroflexota; Anaerolineae. The record is from RNAcentral.
CCUACGGGAGGCAGCAGUAAGGAAUCUUGCGCAAUGGGCGAAAGCCUGACGCAGCGACGCCGCGUGGGCGAUGAAGGCCUUCGGGUUGUAAAGCCCUUUUCUGGGGGACGAGGAAGGACGGUACCUCAGGAAUAAGUCACGGCUAACUACGUGCCAGCAGCCGCGGUAAAACGUAGGUGGCAAGCGUUAUCCGGAUUUACUGGGCGUAAAGCGCACGCAGGCGGUUUCGUUAGUCGGACGUGAAAGCUCCUGGCGUAACUGGGAGAGGUCGUUCGAUACUGCGGAACUUGAGGUUGGGAGAGGGGUGUGGAAUUCCCGGUGUAGGGGUGGAAUGCGUAGAGAUCGGGAGGAACACCAGUGGCGAGGGCGGCACCCGGGCCCACACCUGACGCUGAGGUGCGAAAGCGGGGGGAGCAAACAGGAUUAGAUACCC